RNAcentral lists this ribosomal RNA (673 nucleotides) under Ruegeria denitrificans. Its description in RNAcentral is "bacterial SSU rRNA". It matches the Rfam family "Bacterial small subunit ribosomal RNA", at positions 56 to 775 of the family's 1533-position model. The record is from RNAcentral. Lineage: Bacteria; Pseudomonadati; Pseudomonadota; Alphaproteobacteria; Rhodobacterales; Roseobacteraceae.
UGCAAGUCGAGCGCGCCCUUCGGGGUGAGCGGCGGACGGGUUAGUAACGCGUGGGAAUAUACCCUUUGGUACGGAAUAGCCUCUGGAAACGGAGAGUAAUACCGUAUGUGCCCUUCGGGGGAAAGAUUUAUCGCCAAAGGAUUAGCCCGCGUUAGAUUAGGUAGUUGGUGGGGUAAUGGCCUACCAAGCCUACGAUCUAUAGCUGGUUUUAGAGGAUGAUCAGCAACACUGGGACUGAGACACGGCCCAGACUCCUACGGGAGGCAGCAGUGGGGAAUCUUGGACAAUGGGGGCAACCCUGAUCCAGCCAUGCCGCGUGAGUGAUGAAGGCCUUAGGGUCGUAAAGCUCUUUCGCCUGUGAAGAUAAUGACGGUAGCAGGUAAAGAAACCCCGGCUAACUCCGUGCCAGCAGCCGCGGUAAUACGGAGGGGGUUAGCGUUGUUCGGAAUUACUGGGCGUAAAGCGCACGUAGGCGGAUCGGAAAGUUGGGGGUGAAAUCCCGGGGCUCAACCCCGGAACUGCCUCCAAAACUAUCGGUCUAGAGUUCGAGAGAGGUGAGUGGAAUUCCGAGUGUAGAGGUGAAAUUCGUAGAUAUUCGGAGGAACACCAGUGGCGAAGGCGGCUCACUGGCUCGAUACUGACGCUGAGGUGCGAUAGUGUGGGGAGCAAAACA